This is a non-coding RNA of Cinara cedri, 210 nucleotides long. The record is from the annotation of a GenBank genome assembly. Lineage: Eukaryota; Metazoa; Arthropoda; Insecta; Hemiptera; Aphididae.
GAAAUCCCGUCAUAUUUCGGGGUAGGUGAAUUGUCUACCGACCGAACAAAAGCAUUUAUCCCCGAGCGGGAAGAAAAACGAGUGCGCGCGACCUCUGGUCUUUCUAGCUAAACAAUAUUCGAUGUCAUCAAACGUUUUUUGUCCAGUAGAAUUCGCAAAGUUUCCGUCUCACUUGCCCAGUAAUUACGAUACGGGAUAAUUCAACGUUAU